Rhineura floridana is the source of this 889-nucleotide long non-coding RNA. RefSeq lists it as uncharacterized. NCBI's taxonomy places the organism in Eukaryota, Metazoa, Chordata, Lepidosauria, Squamata, Rhineuridae. The record is from RefSeq and is a predicted model, not a curated record. The transcript is spliced from 3 exons.
GGAGUCAUGUCCAAGAACUGAGGAAAGGCUGCUGUUCUGUACCCUGAUUGCACCUGGAUGGCCCAUCUCCUGCCACAUUGAUUGUUUCAGCCCCUGGGCAUUCUCCUGCCUACAAUGCCAGCUUUCAGUCAAGACCCACCUGGGUCAAAACUCUUUAAAGUGGACUGUUGCCAUACAGUCCUUUGUCCCUCAAAGCCCCUGAACAUCCUUCAGUGGACCAUCUACACUACUGAAAGUGAGGACACCAGAAGACUGAGGAAUGACCAGUGGAUGUUACAGUGAACAACAUGAAGAUGUCCUCUAUGAAGACAGAAAAAAUACUUUGUAGGCUCUCUUGUUUAAUUGAAAGAGCAAAACUGAAGGUGCUGUUUUCAUAUGUGAUGGAGAGCAAGAUUCGAAGUUAUAUAAACUCCAGAGACCAGACCAAAGAAGAUGUUGAACUCCAGACAACCUAAGCCCUCUUCACAUACAGAACAUGCAGGUUAAAAGGGGAGGGGAGGGAAGAGAGCACAUUUAGUCCCGCCUACAAUGCCAUGUCUCUCUUCCUGCCCCCACUUUUGCUGCUGUUUAGAUAAUCUUGAUAAUUAGGGAUGUAGAUCGUGCAGCCUGCAGGGAACCUCCAGACAUAGAGAAGAUCCCCUGAAGUAUACAUUAUCCAGAGCAUGAUAAUGGUAAAUGUACGCAAGAAGAUGCUCUACCAAUAUCAACGUGUUGACAAUUUAUUUAUUUAUUUAUUUCUGCGAUUUAUUUAUCGCCCAUCUGGCUGGAAACCGAGCCACUCCGAGCGAUGUACAAAGUCAUAAUAUAUAAGUAUCACAACAUCAAAACAGCAAUAAAACUAAAACAACAGGUAAAGGUCACCACAACAAAGUUCAACAAAGCUUCUGGC